Molecule: long non-coding RNA, 1255 nt
Organism: Ostrea edulis (European flat oyster)
Lineage: Eukaryota; Metazoa; Mollusca; Bivalvia; Ostreida; Ostreidae
Exons: 2
Source: RefSeq, a predicted model, not a curated record
AUUCCAUAUCCUGUACGUUAGAGGAAUCCGACAGGAAGUAACGGACGUCCAUGUCCCCAAUAACGUUGUCCAGAUCGCCGACCGGACGUUCCCACUCUGGCAGGAAAGAAAUGUCAACAAAUGGUAAACAUCAUUCAUAAAAGUGUGGUAAAAAGCUUUCCUCUUUUCUUAUAAAUAAACAAAUUUUUCAAAAGCACAAAACUCUUGUCUGAAAUAAUACUUCAAGAAACUAUAUAUAGGUCACGCCGUUUCAGGAAUUUAAAACGGAAUCAGUAUUCUUCGUGCAGGGGCAGGUCACUCUGAUUUAUUGAAGAUGAUUUGCUUUUCAAUGCCAGUAACUUUUUGUAUACAUCUUGGAACUGAUUUUGAACUGAGUUUUAUCGUACUCUCCGAGUUGUCAGAUUCCUGCAAUAUGUCUCGUUACAUUUAUACUACUUUGUUACUUUAGGCAUUGAUUAAGAAAUAUAAACAAGUUCACAACAAUAAACAUCAGUGAAUCAAAGUUGCUCGCCGACAUUUCUUGCAUAAAUAUAGAAAUUUGUUAACAGUAAUUGACAUUUUCAAUGGAUGCCCUAUCAAACUUACACAUAAAAUCUUGUUUCUGUGUAAAACAUACUCACCAAUUUUAUCACUAGUCGUGUCCCUUGGUGACUUUUCCGUUUUCUUUUUCCUCUCUGUUUGACCUACUCUCCACUUUCUGGAAUCCAGGAACAGCAGGUGGGGUUUUUCUACAAUGAAUUUUAAGAACAGGCCAAACAAUGGGGGUGCAUACUAAACACAAAUGCGUACAGUAUAAUACUAGAAUUCAGCAAAAUAUGGUAUGAUCAAAUGUACCAAGUUGCAAGAUCCUGGAGAUUACAGUUCAUUUUGCCUACAAGGCCCAGACAGACAGAUGGAUGACACCAUACCAUAUUGCGUCCUGUCUUUGACGGGCGUAUUAAAACUGGACAAGUAACUUACUUUGUCCCGAUUUUUCCAGCACUUGGCUGACCAGGAGGAUGUUCAACUCGUCCGUUGUCAGUCUUCCAUUGUGCUGCUUACUCAGAUUUUUGACAUAGGUAUCUGUAAAAUAUAUAACACUUUGGAUCUCUGAAACAUCAACUGGAAACAAAGACUCCCAAAUGGACACGAAUUUCAUUCAAAUUCCAAAAUCAUACAUAAUUCUGCAAUGUUAUUAAUUAAAACCAUUCUAAAUGUGAAAUCAAUUGGUAUAAUGUUAAGAAGUUUGAUUUUCUAGACAAUAAAUAAGUCAAAC